CUGACAGUUUGGCUUCCCUGUUCCAGGUGGCAAAGCCUGUGGGGUAUUCACCUACCUGCUGCAUGAAGGCAGCAUGGAGGGACUGUGGUGGAUUAUCUGCAAAGAUGGCCCAAAUUCUCUCAUCCCUGCAGGUACAUACAAGAAUGAGGAAGAAAGAUGAAGAAUGAGGAGGAAGAAGGGAGGAACAAGAGAGAGAGGUUUCCAGAAGUUCCCUAGUCAUUGGGCAUUUCUGAGACUCUUGAUGCAUAUGCCAAGUAGUUAUGGAGAAAGACAUAGCCGCUUACCUCUGCAGGCAUCAUUGUGUGAAAGGAAGACCGAGGCUGUCUCACCACCCUUGAAGAGAAGCCUUUUGCUAAGGUGAUAGCUGCAUGUCCAAGCCUAUUGCGUGGCAUGGAUUUUGCCUUCUACAGCCCACUAAAGGAAAUUGAGGUGUACGGAAUGCUUAUUUGGUUGACUCAGUAUCAUCCUAAAUGUAUGAACUAAUGUUUAGGAGUUUGCAGUUCACCCGCAAACCUCAGCGAUCCAAGCUCCCCUGGAUGACCAUCACUCACCUAGAAAAGAACAAUAACAGGACCUGUUUUGCUAAUCCAGGACUGUUCUCCAGCACUAACUCUAAAUAAUCCCUUCUGUUAGAGUCCACUUUCUGGAACCUGUUGCCUCCGUUUUCAACGUUUCCCAAACUUGGUCCGUUGUGUGAGUUGGCUGUUAAAAGUUCCAGGGAGAGGACAUCUUAUUCUUAUUGGAUCACGCACAGUGCCUGAAGCAUUCUGUUGCAUGUAGAAAUCAGUAAAUUGCAGAUGUAAGAUUCAAAACGAGACUUCACAUCUACCGACUUCAGUGAUCCUGAAAUUUGUCCACAGAGAGCAUUUAACAUAACUGUCUUCAUCAUCUCCUUCUCUAAUUAAAAACUAUGG
This 914-nucleotide long non-coding RNA is filed under the name Pongo abelii (Sumatran orangutan). RNAcentral describes it as "lincRNA". Lineage: Eukaryota; Metazoa; Chordata; Mammalia; Primates; Hominidae. The record is from RNAcentral.